UUCGCAUUUGUUUUGUUUCCGUUCAAGAGUUUUUACUGUAUUUAUUUUUAAAUUUAUUUCAUAGGAAUUGAACAAAUUGUACGGACUUCGUUCUAUUUUGGUGAUUUUUGUUUUGCAAUUUUCAAAGUGUGAAAUUCUUGUCGCAGGUGUCUAGUCUUGUUUUUCUUCUAUUUUGUUCUUUGGCUUAUUUUAAAUGUUGGCACUCGGCAACAAACAAAAGGUAAAGCACAAUAAACAUGAACAAGUGAUAAGCGCACGUUAGCUGCAAUGCACGCAGCAGUGGAAAAGAGAGAAGAAGAGGUGUUAUAAAAGAUCGUUAUAUGGAAAAAGAGAAAAUUCAUAACAAUGCAAAUAUGCGAAAUAGACUAAAAUUGGAUGGAGGCGGUGCCAAAAAAAAAAAAA
Molecule: long non-coding RNA, 402 nt
Organism: Drosophila navojoa
Lineage: Eukaryota; Metazoa; Arthropoda; Insecta; Diptera; Drosophilidae
Source: RefSeq, a predicted model, not a curated record